UCCGUGUUCACCACGGCAGUCUCCUUAGAGAGCCCAACUUAAUGCUGGCAACUAAGGACAAGGGUUGCGCUCGUUGCGGGACUUAACCCAACAUGUCACCACACGAGCUGACGACAGCCAUGCAGCACCUGUCUCCUCGUUGUAUUGCUACAAAAAACGUAUCUCUACGUCGGUCGAGGGAUGUCAAACCCAGGUAAGGUUCUUCGCGUUGCUUCGAAUUAAACCACAUGAUCCACCGCUUGUGCGGGCCCCCGUCAAUUCCUUUGAGUUUUAGUCUUGCGACCGUACUUCCCAGGCGGGGUACUUAUUGCGUUAGCGCCGGCUCAGCGGGGGUCAAGACCCACCAAGCCUAGUACCCAUCGUUUACAGCGUGGACUAC
Molecule: unclassified non-coding RNA, 379 nt
Filed under: uncultured Oligoflexales bacterium
Lineage: Bacteria; Pseudomonadati; Bdellovibrionota; Oligoflexia; Oligoflexales
Description: contains 16S-23S intergenic spacer region
Source: RNAcentral